GAUAUGGAUCUACACGAUGUUG
Molecule: non-coding RNA, 22 nt
Filed under: Arabidopsis thaliana (thale cress)
Lineage: Eukaryota; Viridiplantae; Streptophyta; Magnoliopsida; Brassicales; Brassicaceae
Source: RNAcentral